AUGUUAGGACAACCAGUUAACUUUCUUAGUUGGAAUGUAAGGGGAUUAAACUACCCAAACCGUCGGGCCACUGUUCACGAGACUAUCGCUGCAACUUCAUGUCAUUUGGAUUGCUUACAGGAGACCAAACUUGAGGUUUUGGACCAGUUUACAGCUUCCUUCCUCGGAGGGGCCAGGCUCAAAAGCUUUGCCCACCGGCCGGCGCUGGGAACUAGGGGCGACAUCCUGCUUCUUUGGGAUGAAGGCGUUGUGGUUGUGUCUGACGUUGUGCUCUCGGUGUACUGUCUAUCGGCCACAAUCCUCAUCCGCGAGUCUUGGGUCUCCUUCAAGAUCACGGCGUUUUGUGGCCCUACUACUUCUUCUUGCAAAAACGCCUUCUUCGCGGAGCUCCCGGCUCAAAAGCCACCUCCAGGGACCAAAUGGCUUGCACUGGGUGACUUCAACCAGAUACACCGCGCGCGCGACAAGAAUAAGUGGAACAUCAACCGUGGCCGUAUCAACUGGUUCCGUAACACCCUCCACGCAUGCGAACUCAACGAGAUACACCUGCAAAAUCGUCGUUUCACUUGA
This 570-nucleotide ribosomal RNA is filed under the name Triticum aestivum (bread wheat). RNAcentral's name for it is "partial small subunit ribosomal RNA". Lineage: Eukaryota; Viridiplantae; Streptophyta; Magnoliopsida; Poales; Poaceae. The record is from RNAcentral.